This 71-nucleotide transfer RNA is filed under the name Paraliparis dipterus. RNAcentral describes it as "tRNA-Gln". It matches the Rfam family "tRNA". From Rfam's summary of the family: Transfer RNA (tRNA) molecules are approximately 80 nucleotides in length. The record is from RNAcentral. Lineage: Eukaryota; Metazoa; Chordata; Actinopteri; Perciformes; Liparidae.
UAGGAAAUGGUGUAGUGGAAGCACUGAGGGUUUUGAUCUCUCUAGGUAGGGUUCGAGACCCUUUUUUCUAA